Molecule: long non-coding RNA, 646 nt
Organism: Ailuropoda melanoleuca (giant panda)
Lineage: Eukaryota; Metazoa; Chordata; Mammalia; Carnivora; Ursidae
Exons: 4
Source: RefSeq, a predicted model, not a curated record
GCAAUGAGGGUGCCAGCACACUCCCUCAGCGGCCCGGCCUUCCGGGAACCCAGGCCCGUGACUCAGCCGCCCCUUCCCCGGGGUUGCCACGGCAGCAGCAGGAGGAGCGGAGCCGCUGGGCUUGCAACCAGAGCAACCGCGAAGGCAUCGGAGCUCGACCGCGGGCUUCUGGGGCCUGGGUUCUACUCCUCCCGGCCUGAGGCAGCCCCGCCACACCAGGGGACGGGGAGCCCAGAGGCGAAGCGCCAGGGCAGGAGAAAGCAGGCCGAGCCGCUGCUGCCCACUGCUCCCCUGUCCCUGGCCCCUGGGUCUUGCCCUGUGCUCACCGCCAUGCAGAGAGCCAUGACAGGUUCAUAAAUGAGGACGUCCGGGGGGAGCAUCCACAGAAGAGUCCGCGGCAGGUCAGGCCCUGCGCGGGGACCUCGUCAGCCAGCUCAAACGCCUCGAAAAAGGAAGCACGUGCUUCAGAUGUGACCAGAUCCCAAGAAAUACCAACAGGUGCCUCUGAACAGUCCGCAAACUGCCCCCCAAGAUACCCACUGUCUGCAGGGUCCAUGCCCGGAGUUGCCCUGCCCGGGCUGGAAUGGACCAGUCGGAAACAAGAGCCGAGUCAUACCCAAACCUGCGUAAAGAUGAAGUCUCACCC